RNAcentral lists this ribosomal RNA (253 nucleotides) under uncultured bacterium. Its description in RNAcentral is "partial 16S ribosomal RNA". It matches the Rfam family "Bacterial small subunit ribosomal RNA", at positions 524 to 776 of the family's 1533-position model. The record is from RNAcentral.
UACAGAGGUCUCAAGCGUUGUUCGGAUUCAUUGGGCGUAAAGGGUGCGUAGGCGGCGCGGUAAGUCGGGUGUGAAAUCUUGGAGCUUAACUCCGAAACUGCAUUCGAUACUGCCGUGCUUGAGGACUGGAGAGGAGACUGGAAUUUACGGUGUAGCGGUGAAAUGCGUAGAUAUCGUAAGGAAGACCAGUGGCGAAGGCGGGUCUCUGGACAGUUCCUGACACUGAUGCACGAAGGCCAGGGGAGCAAACGGG